ACCCACUGGAGCUGGCUGGGGGAGAAGAGGAAAGUUUGUUCCAGAGGGAACUGUCUAA
Capra hircus (goat) is the source of this 58-nucleotide small nucleolar RNA. Its record names the gene SNORD22. It matches the Rfam family "Small nucleolar RNA SNORD22". From Rfam's summary of the family: U22 is a member of the C/D class of snoRNA which contain the C (UGAUGA) and D (CUGA) box motifs. U22 is encoded within the U22 snoRNA host gene (UHG) in mammals and has also been identified in Xenopus. The record is from Ensembl. Lineage: Eukaryota; Metazoa; Chordata; Mammalia; Artiodactyla; Bovidae.